UUUAAAUCUAGAUUUAUACUUAUCCUUAAUUGUCAUUAUAUUAUUAGGAAUAGGAUUAUAUUCCUAUAUAUAAUAUACGGGAGUUUUUAGAAAACCCAAGCCGUCAUCUAUCCUCUCUUCUCUCUUCCAUCUUCUAGCAAGAAAGACGUCCUUUUGCAAGGGAGCUAGCACCCCGGUGAGGACAUCGAUCAAAUCAAGAACCUCGUGUGGAUACCUAUAGAGGCCGGACGCGUGUGCGGCUUCAAGAGAACCGAAUUCCACGAUCAUCAAAUUGAGGGGAAGAUCUAUCCGCGAAAAAGGUAAAGAUUCGAUCUUGUUUUUCUUUUUUAAUCUUAAAACAUGAGGGAUCCUAAUUGCGUGGUUUUUGAGAUUAGAUCUCGAAAGUUUUUCAAAAUCAAAUUUGUUUGAUUUCUUUUUCCGCUGCGUUUUACCGUACGCAAUUUUCUAACAGUGGUAUCAGAGCCAUCCUCAUGUUUUUAAGAUUAAAAUUAUGAUUUUUGGGUAUUCUAAACCGUUUUUUUGCCGAGAAAACGAUUUAUCGAUCGUUUUUGGCUAAUUCGAAAAGAUCAAAGUGAUCAAUAAUUUAAUCGAACGGUUUCUUGUUUUCAAGCAACAUAAAAAAAAAAUAAUAAAAAAAAAAAAUUUACUGUAGCA
This 654-nucleotide long non-coding RNA is filed under the name Ananas comosus (pineapple). RNAcentral describes it as "long non-coding RNA (ACOM_LNC033302)". The record is from RNAcentral. Lineage: Eukaryota; Viridiplantae; Streptophyta; Magnoliopsida; Poales; Bromeliaceae.